GGAUGCGAGGGCAAUCUGGCUGGACAUCUGUCACCCUACUGAUCGCCAGAAUUGAUCCAGCUGAUCUGGUUGGCUAGGCAGGAGUCCUCAUCCUCCCUUACUGCUCCGGGAGCUUCUCUCUCAAAGAUGUGCAGUCUGUUGAAGAGGACGAACUUCCCCAAUAGAGGAGGACUGUUCUUCGGUCAAGGGUGUAGAGUAGCUAUGCUCCCUUUGUAGAACCCCCAAACAAGCUCUCGAUAAAUAGAUUAAGCAAAGAGAGAUACAUUUUGAGAAAUCUAUAACUUAGGGGAUUUUCUAA
This 298-nucleotide small nuclear RNA is filed under the name Spermophilus dauricus (Daurian ground squirrel). RNAcentral describes it as "7SK RNA (ENSSDAG00000004697.1)". It matches the Rfam family "7SK RNA". Rfam says of the family: 7SK was discovered as an abundant small nuclear RNA in the mid-70s but a possible function has only recently been suggested. Two independent studies have found that 7SK RNA binds the CDK9/cyclin T complex (known as elongation factor P-TEFb). Lineage: Eukaryota; Metazoa; Chordata; Mammalia; Rodentia; Sciuridae. The record is from Rfam by way of RNAcentral.